Molecule: ribosomal RNA, 1003 nt
Filed under: metagenome
Description: bacterial SSU rRNA
Rfam family: Archaeal small subunit ribosomal RNA
Source: RNAcentral
CUGGGAAAGACCGGUGCCAGCCGCCGCGGUAAUACCGGCAGUUCAAGUGGCAUCCAACUUUAUUGGGUCUAAACAUCCGUAGCUUGCUAUUUAAGUCUCUUGUGAAAUCCAACGUCUCAAGCGUUGGGCUUGCAGGAGAUACUGAAUAGCUAGAGAUCGGUAGGCGUAAGGAGUACGGCGAAGGUAGCGGUAAAAUGUGUUAAUCUUCGGUGGACUAACAAUGAGCGAAGGCACCUUACGAGGACGAAUCUGACAGUGAGGGAUGAAGGCCAGGGGCGCAAAACGGAUUAGAUACCCGUGUAGUCCUGGCAGUAAACACUGCUCACUAAACAUCGGGCCCUCUUCGGGAGGAUUCGGUGCUGAAGCGAAGGCGAAGAGUGAGCUACCUGGGAAGUAUAGUCGCAAGAUCGAAACUUAAAGGAAUUGGCGGGGAGACAUACAACGAGUGACGCGUGCGGUUCAAUCAGAUUUUACACCGUGAACCUCACCAGGAGCGACAGCAGGAUGAAGGUCAGUCUAAAGGGCUUACCUGACACGCUGAGCGGAGAUACAAAGCCGACGUCAGCCUGUGCUGUGAAGUGACCUGUUAAAUCAGGUAACAGGCGAGACCCGUGUCGUUAAUUACUACAGAAAUGGGUACAUUAAUCGAGAUUGCCUUGGUAACAAGGAUGAAAGUGCGGGCUACGUUAGGUGGCUUGUCCCUAAUCCCCUGGGCUACACGCGCGCGGCAAUGGUAUGUUCAAAUGGAUGCGACUCCGAGAGGAGAAGCUAAUCCCCUAACGCAUAUCUCAGUCCAGAUUGAGGGUUGCAACCCACCCUCAUGACGUUGGAAUUCGUAGUAAUCGGAUAUUAGCACUGUCCGGUGAAUAAGUCCCUGUCUCUUGCACACACCGCCCGUCAAACCAACCGAGUUAUGUAGGGAUGAAGCCCUUUUUGGGAAGAACCUUUUCAUGACAAGGUAGGUUAAGUCGUCACAAGGUAUCUGUAGGGGAACCUGCAGAUG